RNAcentral lists this ribosomal RNA (468 nucleotides) under uncultured bacterium. Its description in RNAcentral is "partial 16S ribosomal RNA". It matches the Rfam family "Bacterial small subunit ribosomal RNA", at positions 28 to 507 of the family's 1533-position model. The record is from RNAcentral.
GACGAACGCUGGCGGCGUGCUUAACACAUGCAAGUCGAACGGAAAGGCCCUGCUUUUGUGGGGUGCUCGAGUGGCGAACGGGUGAGUAACACGUGAGUAACCUGCCCUUGACUUUGGGAUAACUUCAGGAAACUGGGGCUAAUACCGGAUAGGAGCUCCUGCUGCAUGGUGGGGGUUGGAAAGUUUCGGCGGUUGGGGAUGGACUCGCGGCUUAUCAGCUUGUUGGUGGGGUAGUGGCUUACCAAGGCUUUGACGGGUAGCCGGCCUGUGAGGGUGACCGGCCAAAUUGGGACUGAGAUACGGCCCAGACUCCAACGGGAGGCAGCAGGGGGGAAUAUUGCACAAGGGGCGGAAGCCUGAUGAAGCAAGGCCGCGUGCGGGAUGACGGCCUUCGGGUUGUAAACCGCUUUCGCCUGUGACGAAGCGUGAGUGACGGUAAUGGGUAAAGAAGCACCGGCUAACUACGUG